RNAcentral lists this ribosomal RNA (433 nucleotides) under uncultured bacterium. Its description in RNAcentral is "partial 16S ribosomal RNA". It matches the Rfam family "Bacterial small subunit ribosomal RNA", at positions 29 to 507 of the family's 1533-position model. The record is from RNAcentral.
AACGAACGCUGGCGGCAUGCCUAACACAUGCAAGUCGAACGAGACCUUCGGGUCUAGUGGCGCACGGGUGCGUAACGCGUGGGAACCUGCCCUUAGGUUCGGAAUAACUCCCCGAAAGGGGUGCUAAUACCGGAUAAUGUCUUCGGACCAAAGAUUUAUCGCCUUUGGAUGGGCCCGCGUUGGAUUAGCUAGUUGGUAGGGUAAAAGCCUACCAAGGCGACGAUCCAUAGCUGGUCUGAGAGGAUGAUCAGCCACACUGGGACUGAGACACGGCCCAGACGCCGACGGGACGCAGCAGGGGGGAAUAGAGGAAAAUGGGCGAAAGCCUGAACAAGUAAUGCCGCGGGAGUGAUGAAGGCAUUAGGGUGGUAAAACGCUGGGACCCGGGAGGAGAAUGACGGGACCGGGAGAAGAAGAUCCGGCUAACUCCGUG